RNAcentral lists this ribosomal RNA (700 nucleotides) under uncultured bacterium. Its description in RNAcentral is "bacterial SSU rRNA". It matches the Rfam family "Bacterial small subunit ribosomal RNA", at positions 94 to 789 of the family's 1533-position model. The record is from RNAcentral.
AGUGGCGAACGGGUGAGUAACGCAUCGGAACGUGCCCAGUAGUGGGGGAUAGCCCGGCGAAAGCCGGAUUAAUACCGCAUACGACCUACGGGUGAAAGGGGGGGAUCGCAAGACCUCUCGCUAUUGGAGCGGCCGAUGUCAGAUUAGGUAGUUGGUGGGGUAAAGGCCUACCAAGCCGACGAUCUGUAGCUGGUCUGAGAGGACGACCAGCCACACUGGGACUGAGACACGGCCCAGACUCCUACGGGAGGCAGCAGUGGGGAAUUUUGGACAAUGGGCGCAAGCCUGAUCCAGCCAUGCCGCGUGCGGGAAGAAGGCCUUCGGGUUGUAAACCGCUUUUGUCAGGGAAGAAAAGCUUUGGGCUAAUACCCCGAGGUCAUGACGGUACCUGAAGAAUAAGCACCGGCUAACUACGUGCCAGCAGCCGCGGUAAUACGUAGGGUGCAAGCGUUAAUCGGAAUUACUGGGCGUAAAGCGUGCGCAGGCGGUUUUGUAAGACAGAGGUGAAAUCCCCGGGCUUAACCUGGGAACUGCCUUUGUGACUGCAAGGCUUGAGUGCGGCAGAGGGGGAUGGAAUUCCGCGUGUAGCAGUGAAAUGCGUAGAUAUGCGGAGGAACACCGAUGGCGAAGGCAAUCCCCCUGGGCCUGCACUGACGCUCAUGCACGAAAGCGUGGGGAGCAAACAGGAUUAGAUACCCUG